AGAAUCGCGCGCCGGGUAAAGUACGAAGGAGCGCCAGGAGACGAAGACCAGUCCCUUCAAGAGUUUGUUGUUGGGCUAGUCGAUACAUGGGUUUAAGCACAAGCGUAAGUGGCUCACCAGUGAAUUCGGUGAUAGGUAGCAUGAAGCCGCGAAGGAAGCGAGCGCAGGAGGAGUAAGGCGCCUGGAGGUGAAGAGAAUCGCGCGCCGGGGAAAGUACGAAGGAGCGCCAGGAGACGAAGACCAGUCCCUUCAAGAGUUUGUUGUUGGGCUAGUCGAUACAUGGGUUUAAGCACAAGCGUAAGUGGCUCACCAGUGAAAUCGGCGAUAGGUAGUGUGAAGCCGCGAAGGAAGCAAGCGCAGGAGGAGCAAGGAGGUGGAGAAGAGAAUCGCGCGCCGGGGAAAGUACGAAGGAGCGCCAGGAAAAAAGAGGCGAAGUGUCGCGGAGGAGGAGGGUGGGCAGAGGUACGCUGGUUUCACGUCCUCUGGUCAAACUCGCAAUGCCGUCCAUUCCUCUGUGAGCGGAAUGGACGUACCGGGUUCGUCUCGUGAUAAAAUCGUCCCCGCACGCCGUAUGCUCUAUGUACGAGUAAAAGCAUGCGAUGGUGAGCCGACGAUGGCAGCUCAAUCUCGCGCGCACAAGGGAGGAAAGCGGGCAGGAAGCGUGCCGUCUUCCCACAGAGGGGAGGGGAGGGGGGUGUUUAUUUAAGAAUGGGAGUAAAAGGUUGUACACAAAAGAAAUUUUCAAUAGCAGGUCAGAGCUGUGCCCGUCUCUCUUUCUAGCACCAUUAUUUCUUGUUAUUAAUACAGGUCCCCUUGUCGAAAAUGAAUCCAAGUUGCAGUUUCCCUUGUUUGCCCACCAGUGAUUAGUGCGGUCCAUGUAGUAUAUUAAGACAGCGUAAAAAAUCGCAGCCUUAGUUCUGCAACAUAUAAUUUUUAUGAUCCUGCGAAUAAACAAACUUAAAAUUUGCACCAACUCCUUUCGGCUUGUAGCGCAUUACUUAAUUUCGAGUUUCCUCAAUUCUAGUACUGCAUCUACUAAAGAAUUUAAGCGAUUUCUUCUAAAGUCAUCUGGCUCCUAUAACCAUGCUAUGAGUGGAAGCCCUUUCUCUUUGCCACUGCUACGGCAUACCCAGGGUUCUUCGAUCAGCUGAACUCACGAGCAGUCAGCACAAUCAGCAGCAGUCUCAUGGCCGCGCACAACACAGCAAGUCACAACGUCCAUAAAACUCAAGCUGCCGUUGUCCUUUUGUAGAGUGCUCCAGCCAUGUUUCUUACGAUGGGCUAAAAUGUCAACUUUGUAAUCUUGCAACAAACGCAAUGGCCAACAGUUCAUCUCUACAAAUACAUUUUAUGGCAACAGCUUUAUAGGGCGCCUCCGUGAGCACCGCCUAAGUUCCGUUUUUGCUCAAUGGACCAGUUUGUUACUUACAUCAGACAUUCUCUGCACCCAUUUGCUUAUCUGUCAUUAUACCGCUCCUCUAAACAUCAGUGUACAUA
Dermacentor silvarum is the source of this 1497-nucleotide long non-coding RNA. RefSeq lists it as uncharacterized. Lineage: Eukaryota; Metazoa; Arthropoda; Arachnida; Ixodida; Ixodidae. The record is from RefSeq and is a predicted model, not a curated record. The transcript is spliced from 3 exons.